UGUGCUCCCGAGCCGCGCAAACAGAGCGCGCAAACAGAGCGUGGGCUGUAAGAGCGCGCCGGCGUUCGCGCCGGAGGGGGAGCAGGAGGGGCUGAGCGACCGACUCAUGUUAGUGCGGGCCAGAGGACCUGAACUCAGCUAGGAACUCCUACGAUGGUGUCGACACGGAGUGCUGCCAGGGCCCCUGCCCAGGGGGCGUGGCCUUCCUGGGGCUUGUCUGAGGCCUCCACCCAGGCGGAGCCCGCGGGGGGGGCUGGCGUCCCCCAACCCCUGGCCUGUGGGAGCUGCCCAGCAAGGCCUGGGGGGGGCAGGGACUGGGGACCCCCACACCUGUCCUGCAGGCGCCCGCCUUAGGGCCCUGGAGGCGCAGGUGAGGGAGCUCCAGGAGGAGGUUAACAGGCUGAGGGGAAUCAGGGAGGCAGAGGAAGAAAUUGACAGCUAUUUUCUUUCCCUGCAGGGUUGUACGACCAAGGAGGAUGCACCUCAAGAUGAGCCCUCCACUGCUAAGUGGCAGACAGUCACCUCCCGUGCCAGGGCUGCUCAAGACACGGCAGCACCAGUUCCUACAGUCCGGCUGGAGAACAGGUACGAAGCUCUGGCAGCCCUGGAGGAGAAGGAUGGAGAGGACGAAACCGGGGAGGAGGCAACUCCACGCACACCGCGUCCCGUGCAAGCUGAAGAAGGCAAGAAAGCCAGGAGGAAGAAGCGUCGCAUGAUCGUCAUUGGUGACUCCAUCCUGAGAGGUACAGAGGGCCCCAUCUGUCGCCAGGACCCCUCGGCACGCGAGGUAUACUGCCUACCUGGAGCCAGGAUUCAGGACGUGAAAGGGAUGCUCCAGACAGUAAUCCAGCCCACCGAUUAUUACCCAAUGGUCCUAGUCCAUGUGGGCAUUAACGAUGCGGCCAGGAGGAGCCCUGAUCACCUGAUGGAGGACUACCAUGCUCUGGGGUACGUGCUGAAGGAGAUGGGCGCACAGGUGGUUUUCUCUUCUAUCCUGCCAGUGAGUGGACGAGGCAGACGGCAUGAAACAUGCAUCACGGAGACCAACUGGCGGCUACAGGAAGGUGCUUCGAGGAGGGCUUUGGCUUCCUCAG
RNAcentral lists this long non-coding RNA (1094 nucleotides) under Crocodylus porosus (Australian saltwater crocodile). Its description in RNAcentral is "lncRNA (ENSCPRG00005019202.1)". The record is from RNAcentral. Lineage: Eukaryota; Metazoa; Chordata; Crocodylia; Crocodylidae.